UACAGAGGUCUCAAGCGUUGUUCGGAUUCAUUGGGCGUAAAGGGUGCGUAGGCGGCGCGGUAAGUCGGGUGCGAAAUCUCGGGGCUUAACUCCGAAACUGCAUUCGAUACUGCCGUGCUUGAGGACUGGAGAGGAGACUGGAAUUUACGGUGUAGCGGUGAAAUGCGUAGAUAUCGUAAGGAAGACCAGUGGCGAAGGCGGGUCUCUGGACAGUUCCUGACGCUGAGGCACGAAGGCCAGGGGAGCAAACGGG
This 253-nucleotide ribosomal RNA is filed under the name uncultured bacterium. RNAcentral's name for it is "partial 16S ribosomal RNA". It matches the Rfam family "Bacterial small subunit ribosomal RNA", at positions 524 to 776 of the family's 1533-position model. The record is from RNAcentral.